This 202-nucleotide long non-coding RNA is filed under the name Mytilus galloprovincialis (Mediterranean mussel). Lineage: Eukaryota; Metazoa; Mollusca; Bivalvia; Mytilida; Mytilidae. The record is from RNAcentral.
GGUACAUGUAUUUAGCCUUAAGGUAAGUAAUGACAACUUUAUGACUGGUGAUUACGAUAGACAAAUUGAUUUGAUCGACGAAUUUAUUUUUCAAAAUGUUCAAGGUGCACCAUUUUUUGGUACAUGGUGCACCAUUUUUGCAAACCCAGGGGGUGGUCACCGGCACCGGGUGACCACCCCCUGGAUCCGCCUCUGUCAAGGA